This 334-nucleotide long non-coding RNA is filed under the name Ananas comosus (pineapple). RNAcentral's name for it is "long non-coding RNA (ACOM_LNC011385)". Lineage: Eukaryota; Viridiplantae; Streptophyta; Magnoliopsida; Poales; Bromeliaceae. The record is from RNAcentral.
UUCGGGGCGGGAGAGUUCCUCCACCUCCCGCUCCAUUUCUUAUCUGGGCAGGGCGGAUUCGGGGCGGGUUACUUUUCAUUUUAUUUUUGGCUCCCACUAACCGCUCCAUUCGGGGCGGAUCGGGGCGGGAGCGGAUUUUUAACCGAUCGGGAUAGAUUGAAGGAAGAAAAGAGUCUCCCGCCUCCCGCUCCAUUUACUUGGCGGAUCGGGGCGGAUUCGGGGCGGGUUAUAUUUUUCUAUAUUUUUUGUUCCCACUUACCACCCCAUUCGGGGCGGAUCGAGGCGGAGCUCCACCAAUCCGAAUUCAUUUGCAUCCCUAAUCUCAGAGUUACUU